Phyllostomus discolor (pale spear-nosed bat) is the source of this 2823-nucleotide long non-coding RNA. RefSeq lists it as uncharacterized. The record is from RefSeq and is a predicted model, not a curated record. NCBI's taxonomy places the organism in Eukaryota, Metazoa, Chordata, Mammalia, Chiroptera, Phyllostomidae. The transcript has 2 exons.
AAGAUAAACUUUGCUAUUCUAGCACCAUCUUCACAUUAUUAGGAAAGGGGGGAUACUAACUAUAAAGCAAUGUUUGUAUUAAAACUUAUGGGGCAUAAACUGGAAUACAUUACAUUAGUAUACUGUAUUGUUGUUUAAGUGCCCUUGCCUAGUGGAAUUUUGCUAGUAAUAAAGAGUGGAAUAUGUAGUUGUGUGUAUACUUAUGUAGGUAUUUACCAGGCUUUUGAGUGUUCUUGUUCUAUACCUUUAUCUUGUAAAUAUUUUGAAAAUGUGGUUCUAAGCAACAGAAAUGAAUACGAUCUAGAACAGUUAUCAAAAAUAAAUACAGAGUUCCAAGAUCAUUUAUCUAAAUGGGGUUGUUGAAUGAGGAGUCUUAAAAAAUACUGUCUAUAUUCAGAGUGCCUGCUUGUCUAGGUGUUAUCUCAAAGAAAACACUUGGAAUUUGGGCAGUAGAAACGUGUGAAAGAUAAGUAGAAAAUACGGAUGAUAAAUUACUCUUUUGGGAAUUUGUAAUAGACUCUUUUUCUGUGGACUUCUCAUUAACUUGUCUUGAUAGCAGAUAGGCAGAGAGCAUAUAAUUCUGCUUUUCUGCUUGUGUAAUAACACCGGGUUUAGUUGAGGUUUUGGUUCUAGUUAUGGCUACAGCACAGACUAAUAAUUAGUCAAGCUUGUUAACCUGGUGCCUGUUUCUUCUUUUCUUGGGUCACUUCAUUCUGUUUUAGAUUAGUGUUAUUUAUGUUUAUGUAUUUUUUAGUGUACUAGACCAGGGGCUGGCCACCCUUUCCUGUAAAAUGACAGGUAGUAGAUGUUUUAGGGUUUGUGGGCCAUAUGGUCUUUGUUUCAGCUAUUGAAUUCUGAGGUUAUUCAGUGAAAACAGCCACAGAUAAUAAUACAUAAAUGAAUGAGAAUGAUUGUUACAAUAAAAUUUUAUUUACAAAAACUGAUAAGCUGGAUUUGGCCCAUGGGUUGUUGCCUCCUAUAGUAGCCCUCUAAACUUCUUGAGGGCAGCUCUCAUAUUUUACUUUUUGUUGAAUUGGUUACAGUGCCUAGGCACAAUCCUCUGCACUACAUAAGCACUAUUUGCUUUUUGCAAAUAGAGAAUACUACUUUCUUUGCAUGUGUUUUUGGGACAAAAAAGAGACUAAUUGGAGUUGUUAGGGAAAGCUUUGUGGGACUUUUUGAAGAUGGUGACAUUGGAAGGAUAGUUUUUGCCAAAUUAUAGAAGCAAGAUGGGACAUUUGUAUUUAAUUCAUUGAAUAGUGUGAGGACAGCAAUAAUUUUGAACAGAAGUACAAAUGACAGUUUGGAUUAUUGAGGUUGGGCUUUAAGAAGAUUAAUCCAGAAGCAGUUUGUAGGAUGAGUUAGAGGAGGAAGAGACAGGUAUGAAGUCUAUGUAGGCUAGCCAGGAUAGUAUCAUGAUAUUAUUGAGAAUAGAAAGAAUGAGGUGGUUUCUCUAAUUCUUCCUGAAAGAAGGGUCGUUUUUGGCUGUAACUUUGGAAAACCGCUGCAUACUUUGUUCUUAAUACACAUUAGUGUAUAAGAUAGUUUUCAGAAGGCCUGUAGUACAGAAACUUUAGUUUGAUUUAAUCUUAUGGAUUUCAGACUUAACCUUAGAACUGGUAACAUCAGAAGGAAGUUCUGAAGAACACAAUUGGGGAAUGUUUUAUGUGAUUUGAUAGCUCAUAGAAUAUAGUGGGUGGUGGGAAUAGUUACUGAAAAAUACAGGUUUUACAACUUAUUUAAAAUAGAAAACUUUUUUCUUAUUAUAAAAGGAAUGCAUACUUAUUAUGAGAAUGUAAGUAAUACAGUUAGUAACAGAAUCUGAACAUCAUUGUCCAACUUUACUUCUCAGAGAUAACCACAGCCAGUGAAGUUUUAAGUCAAGUGACUGGGAGACUUAAUGGCAAGAGACUGGAGUUAUAGGGGCCAGAAAGGGUCUCAUGAAAUUGAGGAAGUCUGAGGACAUCUGGGAAGGAUGAUUAAGCUGAGAGGCAGGACAGCAGGGAGAGAAUAAAGCAGGUGAAGGCAGGGAAACUAGAAUCUUACUGGUUGUGAUUGGGGAAUAGCAGAUAAUGGUGGGUUAAAUAAUUGUAAGGAAGUAUUAUAAGAGAUUUUAAGUCUAGCAGUCAUUUGGUGCAACAUUUGUAGUUACGAACAGGAGAGAAUGACUGAGAAUAUUGGAAUGUGAAAAUAAACUAAUACUUGCAUUUGCCUGAAUGUUCUCAUGCCUCUUUUUCCCCUUUGCCCACAGCACAGAUAUUAAAGUCUGUGGGGAAAGGGGGAGGUAUAAGGCAACUAAACAGUAAUGGGAAAAAAAUACAAUAAAGAUUAAAUUAUAAAAAAAAAAACAACCCAGAUACUAAACUGGCUAGAAUUGGAAUCUAACUACUAUCCAUUAAGUUUGCUUCCUAUUUUCUGCUACCAUCAAGAAUCCAGAAAUAAAUAUAUUUGUGUGCACAUGAUGUAAUGGUUUUGAUAAUUGUCAAAUUGCUUUCCAAAAGAGUUGAAACAUAGGCUAUCAGCAGUGUAUGAGUGUUACUUUACACUAUUUAUUUGCCCAUAUUGGGAACGAUAAUUAAAAUUCUUUUUUGUUAGCUUAUUAAGUGAAAAGUAGCACAUCAUGGUUUUACUUUGCAAGGGCUUUGGAGUUCAAGUCAUGGUUCUAACAUGUUAACCCUUCCUGAUUUAUUUUCCUUAUAAAAUGAAAAUUCUAGAAAUCUCGUGAGGUAUUAGGAGAACUAAAUAAACAAAUGCAUAUGAAAACAUGUUAUUGAUUCAGACAUAAUAUAAAUAACAAUCGUUAUGGUGUCCUAACUGAAAAAA